This is a long non-coding RNA of Peromyscus eremicus (cactus mouse), 802 nucleotides long. RefSeq lists it as uncharacterized. The transcript has 3 exons. The record is from RefSeq and is a predicted model, not a curated record. NCBI's taxonomy places the organism in Eukaryota, Metazoa, Chordata, Mammalia, Rodentia, Cricetidae.
GGACCUUAGUUCAGUGACCACAAGCUUGGCCUCUAGACAUGCUGUCCAGACUCAGAGUUCUGUUUGGCAGAGGGAAUGAACAGCAUGGGGAGACCAGAGUGAGGCACAAGGAAGCUGCUCCUAGGUCUCCCAGGAAAACAUGGAAAAAAUGGUCCUGGGGAAGAGGCAGGACUACUGGGAAGUCACCAACCCAAACAUCCACCUCCACUGAGCAGGAGCAGCAGAUGACAAAGUUAGAGAAACUCACCCUUCACCUACAGAGUAUAACAUAGGAGCAAAUUGAACUGCAUGGGAUCCUGGCCAGUUAUACAGACAAGGAUUUGCAGAACAGGGGCCAUGCCCUACAACAGGCUGAAUUCUUUUGAGAUGCUGAAAAAGGAGCAUAAGCAGGUGAUGUUGGACUUGCAGAAAUUGCCCAUGAAGAUCAGUGAUGGUGUGAACAAGGUCAAACAGCUGAUUGAGGAGAAUGUAUCCUACAGCUAUGUGCCUGAUUUAUCUUGGGAGGCACUGAUUCUGCCAUCUUUCUCUUUCACCCCAAGUGAGGGCUUUGGUUCUUGCCUGUCUGCCUCUUAGCAAGCAGUCUGUCAUGUGGUCCUUGGCCUUGUGCCUCUUGGACUCAGUUUUGCUAAGUGUGAAAAGACACUGAGCCCCUCCAAGCAAUGUCCUGCCAUCCGCAGGAGACCCUUGAUAGAAAAAUGUUUUGUACCAUGAAGAGAUUGUCAGGUAUCCUAGUACCUCUGGGGCUCUGACCAGGGCUUCACAGAGCUGGUUUCCAUGGUAGCCAUAGAGAGAACUGAUUCUG